This 200-nucleotide unclassified non-coding RNA is filed under the name Hypocreales sp. RNAcentral describes it as "partial internal transcribed spacer 2". Lineage: Eukaryota; Fungi; Ascomycota; Sordariomycetes; Hypocreales. The record is from RNAcentral.
UUAAGUUCAGCGGGUAUUCCUACCUGAUCCGAGGUCAACCAUGUAAAAGUUGGGGUUUUACGGCGUGGCCGCGCCGCUCUCCAGCUGCGAGAAUGCAAGCUACUGCACAGAGGAGGCUACAGCGUGACCGCCACUAGUUUUGGGGGACGACCGCCGCUGAGGGCGGUCGAUCCCCAACACCGAUCACCCCCGCGAAGGGG